Molecule: non-coding RNA, 604 nt
Organism: Pelobates cultripes (western spadefoot toad)
Lineage: Eukaryota; Metazoa; Chordata; Amphibia; Anura; Pelobatidae
Source: the annotation of a GenBank genome assembly
AACGAGGAAGUCUUCAAUGUAAAGUUGGCACAAAUAUUAGGAUUCUCGGUUGUCACUAUCGUCUUACAUUUAUUCUGAAUGAAUACUAUCCAUCCAUCAGCCCUUAAAGAGUUUCCUAACAGUACAUUGACCUUGAAUGCUGCUCAUUGAUUUUCAGUAGAGCAUCACAAAUAAGGUCGUUACAGUCUUCCAGGAGUGGAUGUGAUUGGGAACAGAUUUCCAAAAUUCCGAUAUUGUGCCACCUGCCCGUGAUGAUGUAUCGUUGUUCUGUUCCCCAUCAAUCCUCACCUGGUUCUAAGGAUGGAGACACCUGUAUGAAAUUCAUCAUUCUGCAGCACAAGCCGAACAAGCACAGACAACUUAAGCUCUUCGGCAUUGCAACGGGUUAUUUUACAGAUCUGUCCCUGGCCUGCAGCGCGAUACAGCUGCGGGGCUGCAGAAACUUAUAUGAUCUUUUAUUCACAUGCGUUUCAGCUGUCAUGGCAAAUUGGAUGAACUUUCCAGGCUGUUGCAGGCAUAUCGAUCUUAGAAAAUGUAACUGAGAUUGCAUGACAGUCAGGACCCUAUUUACAAAGUGAUUUCAUUACUGAAGACAACUUUGAAG